UUGAGGGCGAAUCACGUUUUUAGUGCAGUGUAUAUCACACGCUUCGAUCUAGGCAAACUAUUUCUCAAUCUUCUGAUUUUUUUAGUAGAUUAUUUCUUUAUAAUACUUUUAUAAAAUAAAGAUAUAGCAGAUUUUAGGCAAAAUAUUUUCAAUAAUGAGAACAAUAUAGGUUUAGGAACCACCAAUAAGUGCAUUAUCCUGCAAGAAGUGCUCCCGGUAUGAUCAGAGACCAGCUAUGCCAAAAGAAUUCAAAACAACAAUGCCCCAUAUGCAACCGGCACAUAGCAGCACCUAUAAUAUUAUACGCCCUAUAAUAUGAU
This 320-nucleotide long non-coding RNA is filed under the name Phoenix dactylifera (date palm). RNAcentral describes it as "long non-coding RNA (PDAC_LNC001907)". The record is from RNAcentral. Lineage: Eukaryota; Viridiplantae; Streptophyta; Magnoliopsida; Arecales; Arecaceae.